UUCAAACUCAAAUUUCUCCUUAGAUUUGUUGGGGUUGAGACACAUCUCAUUUAAAAGUCACCGUCAGAGCUGCAAUCAAAAAGCUUGUGAUUACCAGUUAUUACUCAACAGUUAAAACUAAAUUCAGUGAAACAAUUUGCCUUGAGGACUUUCUGUGUGUACUAAGAACAAAUGUGUAUGAAUGACAGCUGGACAUACCUCAAUCUAGCAUGAAGCACCCAGGACUUCACUGCUCCCUUCGGGAGCACCAUCUGCUCAGGUGCUUCCCUGUUGACUCCUCAUGAUGAGAACGUUGCCCCUGGAUUCUACUUCAGGACCACAUAAGGCAAAUAUUUUCUCCCUUCUUGACAGCCAGGGCAUGGGAUGCUUCAUGUAAGAUCAGCCAAAUCUAUACCACACUCUGGUUUUGAAACUUGAGGGAGCAACACAAAGUUGCAAGGGCAGAUGAGGUAUUAUUCAUGGCAACAGCGAUGUACCCAUUGAGUAUUCAGUACUGAAGAAGCAAUUGUCCAGUACUCAAUGCCAGCAGCAGGGUGUGACAACUCCAUCCCUAGAACUUACCACCCCUUGGUCCUUUGGAUUUUACAAGCUAAAGUCCUCAGGUCUUCCUCCUGGUCUCUAUGCUCCCCAGCGUUCUUCCUACAAAGGCCAUUUCUUUUCAACGUAACCUAAUUGGUUUCCUUUGCUAGCCGGUUAUAGUUGUAUUGUUAUUAUGAAUUAUUUUUUAAUCCUUUUGCCAUUGAACUACGAAUUAGGAAGUGAGUCUUGUUCAACAUCCAUAGAGUCUAAUACUGUGCUUUCAAUAUGAUGAUAGGUGAUUAUUGAUGGAAUUGAUUAAUUCAAUGACUUAGAGAUUAUUAAAAAUAAUGUUUUAUAUACUGACAAUUAGAAAGCUUCAACAUAACAAGGAGCUUCCAAAACUUAAGCUCUGAGUUUGUGCAGAUUUCUUGGUUAAAUUGAUUUGCUCGUAUUCCCAAUCUAUAAUCAAAGAAGAGAUUGAAUAAUUUAACAUUAUUAAAGAAGCUAAUAUUGAGAAGACAUUGAUUAUUUCUUAAAAUAAAACAGCAAAAAAACUUCUUCCUGAAAAUAUACUUGAUAAUAAAAUGAGUGUAAAAUCAUUCAGAAGUCACUUAUUCCUUUUAAAAUGCUAAAUUUUAUAUUUUAGAUGACUCUAGUUUUUAAUGACUGCUACUAUAUACCCUAUUUACUUCAUUUCUCUUCUACCUUAGAAGAAAGAAAAGAUAAUUCGUGUUAGAUAAUUUUUCACUCAGGUAAACAACAAGAAAAAUGUACUCCUAAGGAAGUGUUCUUAAAAACAUGAUUAUUUUCUGCUUCACACCUGACAACACAAUGAAACACCUUACUGACAUUUUAUCGUCCCAGAAACCAUGUUUCACUGUGGUAAUUCAAAAUCUAGACUGUUGUAGAAAUAGAUCAAAAACUUUCCACAAAAUUCAAUUAUUUAAAUAAUGUAUUUUACAUAGCCCUAAUCAUCUUCAACUAGCAUACUAUUGGGAAAUGAAAAGCAAACAUGAAAUC
Molecule: long non-coding RNA, 1539 nt
Filed under: Homo sapiens (human)
Lineage: Eukaryota; Metazoa; Chordata; Mammalia; Primates; Hominidae
Description: HSALNT0024688
Source: RNAcentral